CACGUAGUUAGCCGGCGCUUCUUCUGCAGGUACCGUCACCCGAAAGCUUCUUCCCUACUGAAAGAGGUUUACAACCCGAAGGCCGUCAUCCCUCACGCGGCGUCGCUGCAUCAGGCUUUCGCCCAUUGUGCAAUAUUCCCCACUGCUGCCUCCCGUAGGAGUCUGGGCCGUGUCUCAGUCCCAGUGUGGCCGGUCACCCUCUCAGGCCGGCUACCCGUCAUCGCCUUGGUAGGCCUUCACCCCACCAACAAGCUGAUAGGCCGCGAGCCCAUCCCAGACCAGAAACCCUUUCAACAACCCGACAUGCAUCAGGAAGUGAUAUCCAGUAUUAGCCCCGGUUUCCCGGAGUUAUCCCAGAGUCUGGGGCAGGUUACUCACGUGUUACUCACCCGUUCGCCACUAAUCAAGGAUGCAAGCACCCCAUCAUCGUUCGACUUGCAUGUGUAAAGCACGCCGCCAGCGUUCGUCCUGAGCCAGGAUCAAACUCU
This 488-nucleotide ribosomal RNA is filed under the name uncultured Serinibacter sp. RNAcentral's name for it is "partial 16S ribosomal RNA". The record is from RNAcentral. Lineage: Bacteria; Bacillati; Actinomycetota; Actinomycetes; Micrococcales; Beutenbergiaceae.